This is an unclassified non-coding RNA of Fukomys damarensis (Damara mole-rat), 305 nucleotides long. Its record names the gene 7SK. It matches the Rfam family "7SK RNA". From Rfam's summary of the family: 7SK was discovered as an abundant small nuclear RNA in the mid-70s but a possible function has only recently been suggested. Two independent studies have found that 7SK RNA binds the CDK9/cyclin T complex (known as elongation factor P-TEFb). The record is from Ensembl. Lineage: Eukaryota; Metazoa; Chordata; Mammalia; Rodentia; Bathyergidae.
GGAUGUGAGGGCAAUUUGACUGCAACAUAUGUCACCCCACGGAUCACCAGGGUUGAUUUUGCUGAUCUGGAUGGCUAGGUAGGUGUCCCCUUCCUCUCUCACCACUCUGUGUGUCCCUCCCACACUCAAAGAGGAUGACCGCCCCCAGCAGAGGAGGACUGUUUCCUUGGCAAGGGUAUACAAGUAGCUGCGCUCCCCUGCUAGAAUCUCCAAACAAGCUCUCAAGAAUACAAAAAGUAAGCAGCUUUAAUUUAUAUAGACAAGAAUUAAAUUGCCCGCAGGCAUGGUAGCACAUGCCUGUAAUA